Molecule: long non-coding RNA, 1061 nt
Organism: Hydra vulgaris (swiftwater hydra)
Lineage: Eukaryota; Metazoa; Cnidaria; Hydrozoa; Anthoathecata; Hydridae
Product: nuclear receptor-binding protein
Source: RefSeq, a predicted model, not a curated record
CUUCACUUGUGGGACUUCAUCACCAGGAUAUACUAUUGGUGUGUAAAUAUAUACUUUAAUGGUUGCAGUUCCGUCAAAAGUAAGCCUACUCAAGUUUCUUAACAAACAAUAUUAUUGGGUUUUGGUACACUUAGUAUGUCUUGUAAUGUGACGUCAAAGAAAAUUAAUCUCUGUACACUAUAUAUAUAUAAGAAGCUUGUCAUAAUAUCCUGAAUAACUGGUUAGACACGUGUACAGCGACCUUUCUUAAAAACCUGGGCGUUCUUACAAUUUUUUAAAUACAAGAAAUUUUAUAGCAGAAGAAAGCAGUGUACUAUCGCAAUCAUCAACCUUGUUCUUUUUUUUACAAUGUGGGGAAACGAUAACAACUUUUCUAAUGAGCAGAUUGCUACCAUGAUGGCCUACGAUAUGAUAUUGGUAGAUUCUGCUAAUGUAACUCAGAACGGUCUAUACCCUGUUCGUGGCAUUGAAUAUGAAGAAGGUUAUUAUUUAUUAGAAGAGAGCAAUAAUGAGUUGUAUGAUGACAGACCUAAAUUUCCAGAAGAAGAAAAAACUGAGGAUGAAAAUUCUCCAGAGACUAGAUUGAUUAUACAUAUUUCGUGUUCGGUAAAGAUGAUUGAUAAGGAAAAGCACCUUACGUUAUUACUUCGUUUCGACGAUGAAAUGAAUAGACAUUUAACUUGUAAAGUCAGUGAAAAUGAAACCAGCGUUGAUCUUGCGGCAGAGCUUGUAAAAUAUGGACUUAUAAAUAAGGCUGAUCAAGACCAAGUUUCAAAUAAAAUCCAAGAAAAUCUUUAUCCAACUAGCUAGCAUUGACAAGUUUAUAAUCGAUAGUAUCGUUUAUAAACGUUAAUCGAUAUUAUCGUUUAUUGCCAGUUUAUUUACAGACAACAAACAGGCAUAGGAGGUUUUUCUAGAAAAUGAAUGGAUUUAUUAAAUAGAUGAAUGGAUUUAUUAAAUAAAUGAAUGGAUUUAUUAAAUAGAUGAAGAAUUUAUUAAUGAUUUUUUUAUAUUAAGAUUAUUGUAGUUGAGUUAUUAUUUGCAUCAAAGACUAUUAAAAU